GUCCCUUUUCACAGAAUGUGCAGAUGUCAUUUUAUCAUACAGGGCUUUACUCGAGGUCCAUAUCACCAAAUGGACCAUUUCUCUAUUCUUCCUACAGGUUUAUCUGCAUGACCAAAUUCUCAUAUUUCUGAAUGUCCUGCUGUCAGCUGAUAGUGGUGCAGGUGCUCCCAUCCCACAGCAAUCAUGAGGGCCUAUGGAAGACUACUGACUAAUGGCGAGAGUGAGGAGAUGGAAUAGGGACAUCAUGGUAGAAGUCUCCUGGUGGCCUGGACCAAGUGCCCAGCCUGAGAGGAUGCCUUAUGAGGGAUUUGCAUGGGAACUGGGUCUCAGUCCAAAAACUACUUGCAUGCUCCCAAAAAAAAGGAAGCUGGUAUUCAGCCGAGUGGUGACUGCUGCAGGAACGCAACCACACGGUGUGUCAGAGUCAGGGUCUACGUGA
Molecule: long non-coding RNA, 439 nt
Filed under: Struthio camelus australis
Lineage: Eukaryota; Metazoa; Chordata; Aves; Struthioniformes; Struthionidae
Description: lncRNA (ENSSCUG00000001165.1)
Source: RNAcentral